AUCAUGCCACCACACUCCAGCCUGGGUGACAGAGGGAGACUGUCUCAAUAAAAACAAAAAACAUGUUUUGUACCACAUAUCAGUCAAAAUAAGUGGCCGAAGGCUGUAGUUUGCUUUAAUUCACCUUCUAAGGCGGCUCUGGACCUUCCCUCAAGAAACGGUUUUCCUGCCCAUCAGUGCAGCUCUCUUCCCCUUUAAACACGAGGACUGCUGGGGCCAGGAAGACCACACUCCAGAAGGCGGGCGCAGCGGUGUGGACCUGAAGUCUCUGCGACUCAGGAGGACCCUGGAGCCCAAGAGCUCGAGGCCAGCCUGGGCAAUAGCAUCAGACCCCAUCUCUUCCAAACAAACAAACACACAAAAAGGCUAUGCUGCCAGGAGGAGUGAAAAACCAGAAAAAAACAAAAGUGGAGCUGCUGUGGGGCCACACCCGGCCCCCGGAGGGGAAAGGGGCUGGAGGUAACGGGGCAGCAAGGCCCGCAGGCCAGAGGGCUCCCGUCAUGAUUCCAGGGCAUCUGCAAACUCAAAUUUCAUAAUAGCUUUUGCUUGCAAAAGCAAAGUCCCUGAUUUGCUGUUUCUCCCAGGAGACUCUGGAGGUCUGUGCCUGACCAGGAGAUGCUCACGUUUCUAAGCCAAAAACAGUGACUGAAUAAAUGACUCAUUAGAGGGAUCCUUGAACAAACUGGCACCAGGCACUAAAUUCACACUUGAUCCGCUCAGCCUUAUAAUAAAGUCAUGAGGUAGUUCUACUACGUCCAUUUUACAGAUGAGAAAAUCAAGGUUCGAAGAAACUAAGUAAUGCUCCCAAUAUCUAGGCAGAAAAGCUGGGGUUCAGACCCGUCUCGUUGCCUCUGAGUCUGUCCUCUCUCCACUGUCCCAGCAGAAAAUCUCUCCCUAGAGAGGACCCUGUGGGGGUGCGGAGCAGAAGGGCAGGGGUCGGAGAGCCCAGGGUGGAGCGAGCUGGGACAGCUCCAGCAGCAGCAGAAGCCGGAAAUCUCCCGCAGCCCCCACCGUGCCUCCCAUAAAUGAAGGCCUCCCGAGAGGAGGGGACCUGGGGACGAGAACCAGCCACACCAGGCCAGGCCCGCAGGAGGCAUGAGAUGGAGGCGACUGAGUGAGGAGUGUCCUCUACCCUCACCACAAGGUCUGGGUGGAAAUCGCACCCUCAGGAUGAAUGGCCAACUCUCGCUGGGCUUCUCCACGCCUUCCCCAGGACCCUUCCCCAGUGCUUCCAACGAGGCCACAAACCGUGAGCGGCCCGUCUGACGUUUCCCUCUCGGAAUUCUAGGAUCAGUAACUGGUCCCCAGAAAGUGCGGAUCCCACCUCUCGGGAGCAUCUCAUCCCCUCCGCUUCUGCGGAAGAGGACGCCGCCCCCCAACCCCAAAGUGCCUGUGUUUCCUGGCGCCCUGGCACUCCAGCUCGUCAGCUAAGAACCUGGCCAUGCUGACAAAAUAUGCCACUUGAGACACGAGCUGGUUCUUGUGGCAUCAACCCUGAAAACAUGUUGGUCAAAGAGAAAAAAAAAAAAGGCAUCUGGAAAUUUCUACCUUCUAUUCUCCUGUUUGUAAUGAUGCCAGCAACCCGAGAGUGGGGGCAAAGCUGAGGUGCAAGUGCCUCGUACUCCGGAGACAUUCUGGGAAGCCAGAAUGUAUGAAACAUUCUGAGUCGGCGUGACUCAGCCGUGCCCACUGCUCCCUCUGACGGGCCAGCCAGGGGCACAGAAGGCAGGCAGGUGACCCGGGCAUUGCGCGCCUCCACCUGGUCCCAAAUGCUGAAGCCUUCGAGCAACUUAAAAAGGGUGAGGAAAACAAGGCCCCGGGGAGCAGGUGCCUUGUGGCCUCUGCCAGAAGGUUCAGGGGACUCUCUCCUGCAUGAGGAAGACACCAGGCACGACAAAGACGUGAUGCAACAUCUGGAACUGUCCGCUGUUAACAGGUGACGGCAAAAGUUGUCCAAGUCUUGUCCCUAUGCACACACCAUGUACACCACUCACAAACAAUGUACACACCACUCUGCAAACAAAACGUGAUGCUCUAGGAUUCGCUCACCCACAGUCAGCCACGCGUGCAGGUGCAGUGCUGAGGCCGAGGGCGCAGAGGGAGCCUGACAGUCAGUGGAAGCGUGCGCUCUACAACAGGGCACCGCUGGUCUGGCCCGCAGAGGACCAUGAGGGCAGGGGCUGGCGAGUCGCGUUGGCUGGAAAGGCCUCUCUGAGGAACUGAGGCUGAAGCUAGAAAACUCUGAAUGAUGCUGGGCCCCUGAGAUCCGGAGGAAGGGGCUCCAGGCAACAGAAGUGGCCGGGGUGCGGGCCUGAGGCACAGGAGCUGUGGGGCUCCUCAAAGAGCAGAAAGCCUGGUUUCAUGGCUACCGCCCCCCAAGAGCAGGAUCAGCGCCGACCAGGCUGCAGCGAGCGUCGGGCUGGCCACCGCGAGAGGCCUGGACAUCACUGCCGGCAGGGGCUGGAAGGGGCCUCACCACACCUGGGCGUUUCCAUCAUCAGAACACAAAAGCCCUGCUAGCCAGUAAGAGAGCUCUGCAGGAAAGAAAUCAGGAAGGCACAGUUGUAAGCACUGAUUGCAUUGGUUUUAAUGUGACUUAUUUAGUUGUAAGUUUAGCUCAUUUCAUCUUCAUAAUGGCUGUGUUUGGCAACCCACUUCCGCGAGCGGUAGCAGCAGUGCCGGCCACCACAGGCGGUCUUGGAGUUGGUAGAGGAUCAGGCGGCCUUCAUGGCAUUUUGGAGGAAGCACUGUCACAAAGGGAUGAUGGGCAGGCUGCCGGGAGUUAGGAAAAGAAAAGCAAAAUACAUUUGCUAGCUUCUGGCUUGAAUGCCUGGGCUGACCAGAGGGGCCACGCAGUGCCGGGGAGAAGCGGGAAGCAGUUCCAACUAUGCUGGGGCAGUAGUGCUGCCUCUGGAUCUGCGGCAGUGAGGCCUCAAAGGCGCCGAGGGCACUGGAGCAGGGGCCCCCAGCCAGUCACAGUUCCUGCGUCUGCACCCCAGGGCCUCUGAAAACUGGGAAGUCCACGCCACGGCCUCCGUGUGACACUCACCUGCUGCCCAUCACAGGCCACAGACACACUGAGAGGAACCCAAGAGGUGUCUGAAGCAGGACUGCCCACCAGGAGAGUGCGGGUCCUGAGCCCAGCUUCAGGGAGCUGAGCACAGAGGAGCCGAGGACACCAACAGCAGGACUGGCUGUGCUUCUGACAAAUGUGGUUUGGGCCACUGGGUGAGGGACAGAGGGAGCAGGCCAGGGAAUGGGCAGAGUGAGCCAACGCACAGGGGCAGUGCCGAGCCACCAUGCUGACCCAGUGAUGGCCAACAGCAUGCUCCAUCAUGGGGACCCUCCGCAGAGCCUCGGGGAGCAUCGCAGAGCUGCCUCCCUGAGGAAUGGGUGCAGGGACACCUCCACUGGCCCCUGGCCCGCAUGGUCAGGGGUGAUCCUGGGAAUAGCUUCCACACAUGCUAGGUGACAUGCAUGAAAGCCCAUCAGGUGCCCCUGGGCGUCCGGUGCCGAGAGAGGCAGAGGCAGGUGAAAGGCAAGAUGCCCCUGCAUGAAGAUGGUCCCGGCACCCACAGAGCAGGCCACCACAGUAGGGACUGGGUGGGAGUCAGGGCCUUCAGGAUCUGCAGGGGGCAAAGGCACCGGACGGCGAGUGCCCACGCCCCAGAGCCAGAGGCCCUUCCACUCUCCAGUGUCCUGGAGACCAGUGUCCUCGUUCAAAAAUAAACACACAAGCAGCUCUCCCACAGGAAGCUGAGGAGAGUCUGGGCUGCAGACUGGGGAGACCCAGGAUCGGGAAAGUUUUGUUUUAUUGUGUUUCUUAAUGUAAGUAAUUAGAGUAUAUUUAGAGGCUCAGAAAGGAAGUCAGGGACAUCAGGAAAAUGAGAGGAUAUUCACGAUGAAGGAGAGGUGGGAUCAAAAGCAUGAAGGAAGCCCAGGGAUGAUUUGUCUAAAUGCAUCCAUCAGUCUACCAAGUCAUCAAGUAAAACACAUCCCACCCCCACACCUAGACAAUCUACCUUCAUGGCAACCUGGAAGGCCAGGUUCAAAGUUCAAAGUUCAAAUACUGCAGAUGGUACAGAGAAAGCGUUACACAGCAAGAAAGCAGGCAGCUGGAUGAGCACAGAGCCACGCUGGAGGGGGACAGAGUCACACUGGGGGUGUGAGGGGACGGACCCCACAGAGGGAGGCAGAGUUACGCUAGAGGGGGACAGAGCCACGCUGGAGGGGGACAGAGUCACACUGGGGAUGUGAGGGGACGGACCCCACAGAGGGGGACAGAGCCACGCUGGAGGGGGACAGAGCCACGCUGGGGGUGUGAGGGGACGGAGCCCCACAGAGGGAGGCAGAGCUAGGCUAGAGGGGGACAGAACCACACUGGAGGGGGCCAGAGCCACGCUGGGGGUGUGAGGGGACGGACCCUACAGAGGGAGGCAGAGCUACGCUAGAGGGGGACAGAGCCACGCUAAGGAGGAACACAGCCACGCUGGGGUGUCAGGGGACGGAGCCCCGCUGGCAGUGGAGAACACGCAGCCGGGCUCCAUGUUCACAGCUGUGCGGUGCAGCCAGAACCCUGAGCCGGUGCUCUUCCCUGCAUCCUGCAUUUCCUGGGUAAGGAAGGAGAAGCCUGACAGCAAGGGGUUCCACCGAGGCUGGGACUCCGCUAGGUGCGCGUGGAGGUAGAGAAGCAGCGGCGGCUGCCAGUAAGUGUCUCCACUGCGGAACCUGUCACCCAGCUGGUGGGGGAGGAAACCAAGCAGGGUAAAAGGGGCUGAGACAAAGUUGCCUAAAGGUUGGGCUUUUGAAGUACUAGAAACUUCCUCUUCUCGGGAGGUGGCAGACAAGUCAUCUCACAGGCUCUCGUGCUGUGGAAACCCCAGGUUCUACAUAAAAUACACCUUCUGUCACACUGCUGAACUAACCGGCAGUAAGGAAACCCUCCAACAAGCCAGAAAUAUAUAAUUAAGAGAAAUGAAAGCAACUCAAGUUAUGCUGACAGCAGAGUUGAGGGCAGCAGGUGGAGGACUGCACGAGGGUCAGGGCCAAGGUGAGCCCAGAGCCGCAGGGUUCAGGAUGCUGGGGCUGGAGUCCAGGGCAGCUCCCAGGAAAUGCACACGGGAUGCCCAUCGGAGAAUGGCCUCCUCACUCCAAUCCCUCUGUUUCCAAACAGUAAGACCAGAGAGACAUACGCUCCCAAGCAAACACAAGCCAACACAGAAAGAAGUGAAAAAAAGGCAGCAAACACAUCAAAAGACAGUCAAGUUCUUCAGUUACUCAUAUCAUUAGAAACUGUAUGAUUACUGUUUCUGAAACUUUUGAAGAAAAGAAUCUAUUAAUGUUUUAUCCACUAUCAUUUUCCCAUGUGUGUUUUGAUUAAAUACAAAGUUUACGAAAAUACUUGAAAAAUUUUAAGUAAUGAAAAAGAGGAAGCAACAGAAUUGUCAAAAUUAAUCAUUUUAGGAAAAGAACAAAGUAGAUUUUCAAAAAUAAAAAGUAUAAUUGAUGCAUUUAAAAAAAGAAAACCCUCAAUGAAUGACUUAAGCAAUAAAUGCCAUGCAAAACUGAAAAGGAGAUUAGGUGAAUGACAAGAUCCUGACGAAGAAAUCAGCUGAGCAGAGGGAAUCAAAAUACAAAAAUGCAGGAGAGCCCAAAUCCUGUGUUUUGUAUUCUCAAAGUAAAAGUCCAAGGAUAGUUGAAAACCCAGAAGUGCCACCUAAGGAGGUGUGACAGCUGACUCUGCAGGACUGGGAAGCAAGGGAAGGUAGGAAGGAAGACAAUGGAGACGUAUUUAAAGGCCACUGCUGCAGAUUUCCAGAACUGAUAAAAGACACAAACUCACAAAGAGGCAAACAUAUUCUCACAAGAGAACAGGGUGCUCCACACCCAAACACACCCUGACAAACCUGGAAGCACCAAGGACAAAAGAAAAAUGUGACGAGCAGCCAGUGAGACACAGACAGACAAGGAAGGAGUGGCUGCUAUGCUGAGGCAGGCCAGCCAAGGAUGAGAAGAGUACACUAAACGUGAUGAAAGGAGAAAAAGAAAACUCACCUGCAAGUUUUGCCUAACAGUCACUCAGGCAUGUUGGUCAAAGAGAGACAUUUUCAGAUCAGACGAACACACAGGCGCACCGACUGUAUCACCAAGAGGUCUACUAAAGCUACUCCUAAGGGGUAUGUGUUCAUCAGGAAAAGAGAACGUGACCCCGCAGGAGGGUGUCUGAUGCAAGCAGGAAGCACAAGUGCACAGGGAGCUGGACACUGACCAGGGCAGGGAAUGUCCUGGGGACCUCUUGGACAAUACGAGGCUUUUGGUCACAUCUAUAGCACGACGGGGCAAGUGUCACACUUCACAAGCCACCAGUGAUCCAUCAGCAUAAACUGCAACCGUGCUGGAUUUCCUGUUUUCCCUGUGGUCUCCUGUUCCGGGGCCCACCCAGGACCCCACAGUCCCUCCUUUAUCUUCAUGAUUCCUGAGGUUCCUUUGGCUGCGACAGUUUCUCAGACUUGCCUUGUUUUUAAUGACCUUGACAGUUUCAAGUACUUGAUUGAGUGUUUCCUAGAAUGUCCCUUAAUUAGAAUUUGUUUGAUGUCGUCAUGACCAGAUGGGGUUGUAUGUUUUUGGGAGAAAGGUCACAGAGACUAAGUGGUAUCUCCUUACAUCAUCUCAAAGCUGUGCUGUUGACAUGACCUUUUAAAAACUUAGGAUGGAAAUGAAAACGCUAAGUGUCAAAACCUGUUGUAUGCACCCAACGCCUAUUUCAAGGGAAAUGUGUCGCUUAUAACAGAAGGAAGGUUAAGAACUAAUGUGAGCUGCACAUCCAGCCUUGGGAGAAAGAGAACAGCGGGUGCAGCCAGCCACAGAAAGUACCAGGAAGAUAAGAGAAGGCAUUUAAAACACUGAAAGCUGACUUAAACUAAGGGAAUCCACAAAGCCAGAGUGACUCAAAACAGUGAAUACAGAUUAAUCAAGAAGAAGGGGCUGAGUCAUGUUGGAAAUGAAAAAGGGUACACAGAGACAAAUCCAGCAAAGAUUUAAACACCAGAAGCAAAUCUAUGACAAUAAAAUGGAAAACUUAGAUUAAGUAGAACUCCUGAAAACUUUCUUUUCAAUCCGUACGACAGGAAUUAAAAGGUCAGGUUAUUAGUAACCAUUAAAGAUGUUAAAUCAGUAGUUAAAACAUCAAAUCACCAAGGAAAUAUGAACCCCAAAUAGUUUGAGGUUAAUUUUUACAAACUUUCAAGGAAUAAUUAAUUCUAAUCUUAAAUAAACUAUCCCUGAAAGUAAAAAAAAAAAAAAAAGACAUUAAACAAGGAAAAUUUCCGUCCCCUCCAAUUAAAGAACAGAGAUGAAGAAUCCUGAAGCACUAGCAAAGUAUGAAAAUGACAAGAUUUAUCACAAACAAGUUGAAUCCACGGCAAGAGAUCAGGGAAGUUUAAAGAAAAUUCGCACCACACAAUCAUCACAACAGGCGGAGUAAAAGCAUUUGGCUAAUGGAACACAGCUAUCCACGAACUUCCCUCGAAAAACGGAAUCUGAAAUAACCUAUGUCAAACAUCACGCUUAAACUGGGAAAAUGUUAAAAACCUUCUCUUUAAUGUCAAGGACGACGGAAGCCCAGUAUUUCUGCUCUUAUUCAAAACUGAACUGGAAUUCCCAGCUAGCACAGUAAGACAAGGAAAACAAACACAGGAAUUAGAGAGAAAGACACUAAACUAGCAUCAUUACACUGACAGUCUUUGUCUUAGAAACCCUGAAGAAUCUACAGAAAGAAAUUUUAGAAUGUGUAAGAUUUUAAUAAGACGACUGGAUAUAAAAAUAAAAUACAAAAAUCAACUGCAUUUCCAAAAACUAGCAAGGAAAAAUUUAAUUAAGAAAAAAAAAUAUAUUGUCUGCAGCAGAAAAACAAAACAACUACAAUCUACCAAAGAGUAAAGAAUAAAUCUAACUGGACACGUGCAAGACCUUUAUGGAGAAAACUAUAAAAAUCUAUUGGAAAAAACACAGUAAAGAGGACCUAAUCGAGGGAAAGAGAAGCCACACACACAAAUACACUAUCAAGAUGCCAACCCUCCCUUCAAAUUCAUCCACAGAGUCAAUGCAACUCUAAUCCAGUUUCAGGCUUGGCUUUUUACAGGAACUUGUCUCCAGAUAAGUUACAGCCUAGGAGGAGCUAGGAAAGUCUCAAGGAGGGGCUGAGACUCGGGAGUGAGGCUGCAGAGCCUCUCAGGAGACAGUGCCCUGCUGGCCCCAGGAUAGGCUCGGGAGCAGCUGAGCACAGGGAGGGUCCAAAACAGACCGAACUUGGAGGAUGAGCUGGCCACACAGCUAUCCCAGAGAAAGGGUGUCAAGUGUCAAACAUUAUGGUUCUCAAAAUGAGCAAAGAAAAUGAAACUGAUCCCGACCUUGCACCCCACACAAAAACCGAAGGCUUCAGUACGAAAGACAAAACGUCAAAGGCCUUAAGAGAAAAUAUACAAGGUUAUCUUGUUGGCCUUGAGGUAGGGAAGGUUUUCUCGGGGUUGUUUUGUUUUUAAACAAAAUACAAAAAAAACAGUAACCACAAAAGAAAAGGUCUGCUUUUUGGCUUAGUCGAGGUGUCAUUUAAGAACUGUUUUUGCAUAUAACUUUUCUUGUGUUAUACUAUGUACGUGUUUCCAGAUCAAGGAAGUCGAGUGAAACACUUCUAA
Molecule: long non-coding RNA, 8693 nt
Organism: Cercocebus atys (sooty mangabey)
Lineage: Eukaryota; Metazoa; Chordata; Mammalia; Primates; Cercopithecidae
Exons: 2
Source: RefSeq, a predicted model, not a curated record